AACGAACGCUGGCGGCAUGCCUAACACAUGCAAGUCGAACGAGAUCUUCGGGUCUAGUGGCGCACGGGUGCGUAACGCGUGGGAAUCUGCCCUUUGGUUCGGAAUAACAGUUGGAAACGACUGCUAAUACCGGAUGAUGACGAAAGUCCAAAGAUUUAUCGCCAGAGGAUGAGCCCGCGUAGGAUUAGCUAGUUGGUGUGGUAAAGGCGCACCAAGGCGACGAUCCUUAGCUGGUCUGAGAGGAUGAUCAGCCACACUGGGACUGAGACACGGCACAGACUCCUACGGGAGGCAGCAGUGGGGAAUAUUGGACAAGGGGCGAAAGCCUGAUCCAGCAAUGCCGCGUGAGUGAUGAAGGCCUUAGGGUUGUAAAGCUCUUUUACCCGGGAUGAUAAUGACAGUACCGGGAGAAUAAGCGCCGGCUAACUCCGUGCCAGCCGCCGCUGUAA
Molecule: ribosomal RNA, 449 nt
Filed under: uncultured bacterium
Lineage: Bacteria
Description: partial 16S ribosomal RNA
Rfam family: Bacterial small subunit ribosomal RNA
Source: RNAcentral